Molecule: ribosomal RNA, 471 nt
Filed under: uncultured bacterium
Lineage: Bacteria
Description: bacterial SSU rRNA
Rfam family: Bacterial small subunit ribosomal RNA
Source: RNAcentral
GAUGAACGCUGGCGGCGUGCCUAACACAUGCAAGUCGAACGGAGUAGCAAUACUUUAGUGGCGCACGGGUGAGUAACACGUAGCUAACCUUACCCUCAAGCGGGGGAUAACGUUCCGAAAGGAAUGCUAAUACCGCAUAAGCUCACGCGAAGUAGAGGAGCGUGAGAAAAGGCGAAAGCCACUUGAGGAUGGGGCUGCGGCCCAUCAGGUAGUUGGUAGGGUAACGGCCUACCAAGCCGACGACGGGUAGGGGACCUGAGAGGGUGAUCCCCCACACUGGGACUGAGACACGGCCCAGACUCCUACGGGAGGCAGCAGUGAGGAAUAUUGGUCAAUGGGCGAAAGCCUGAACCAGCGACGCCGCGUGGGUGAAGAAGGUCUUCGGAUCGUAAAGCCCUUUUCUGUGUGACGAGUAAGGACGGUAGCACAGGAAUAAGUCUCGGCUAACUACGUGCCAGCAGCCGCGGUAAU